This 656-nucleotide long non-coding RNA is filed under the name Drosophila guanche. Lineage: Eukaryota; Metazoa; Arthropoda; Insecta; Diptera; Drosophilidae. The record is from RNAcentral.
ACGACACAGUGAACUACCCAGUACCCAGUACAGGGGCAAAACGACAGAGGCCAAGCGCGACGUUUAAAAAAGUACACCCCUAAAGGAGUAACGAGGAAACACAGAAAUUGUUGACGUGCAAAACAAAAGCAGAGCUAACGGUUGGCCAACAGAAAGUGCAACGAGAGAAAAGUGAGAGAAAAGUAACAGGCAUAAACUUGCUCCAAUCUUGUGGGCAGCACUUGUGCCAAUAGUUCAGUGUUGUAAAGCAAGGCAACGGAAAGGAAGUCGGAAGUCAACAAAAGCAUUUUAAAAAUCUCUGUACAUCACAAUUUCUUAAAAUCCAAAAGUUGGAAAAAUUCUACACAGAUAUAUGCAUGUGCGCGUGUAUAUGUACAUAAUAUAAGUGGAUAUAUAUAUAUACAUAUAUGUGUGUGUAGUGGUACAAUAUUUGUGAGCGCCAAAAAGCCGAAGAGACGAAGUGGCGCAGCCAUAUAAAUCGUGGCUUCUCUCGCGCGACGGUCUCCAGUUCGAAAGUCCACGUCCUCCUCGGUCGCGUAGUAAAAACUCUCGUAGAUUGCGCGUGUGUGUGUGCUUAUGUGUGGAUUGUCGGCAUAUCCUUGUGCGACUCUCGCUGCGCCUCGCUGCACACAACCCCCGGACACCAUCCCGCUAUA